Molecule: long non-coding RNA, 226 nt
Filed under: Coturnix japonica (Japanese quail)
Lineage: Eukaryota; Metazoa; Chordata; Aves; Galliformes; Phasianidae
Description: lncRNA (ENSCJPG00005018263.1)
Source: RNAcentral
UACAAUGAAGGGGAAGAGACAGCAGGAUGAUUGGCCAGAUAGGUAGAGUUAUGCUCCCCUGAGGAAGGAGAGAGACUGUGAGCUCUCUGGUGCAGCAAAGUACUCUGUUAGAAACAGCCUCUCUGUCUGCCCCUUUCUUCACUGCUUGAAGCAUGGCAUGAAAGAACAAAAUCUAACAACUCACUGAUAUCUUGGACACUCACAAGAUGGAUAAGUCUCUAAAAGU